UCCCACCAAUAAGCUCUUAUUAAAGUUAACCUUUAAGCCAGACAUUAAUUCGAACAGUAGUAGGUUUGCUUUUAUUAACCUAAUAAUAAUAUUGUUUGAUUUAGGUUUUUACAUGAUAGACAAAACCAAACACAAUUUCAAUAUUUCCCUCACAUUCUCUCUUUUACAUUCAUUCUUCUUUCUCCUUCUCUCUCCACACAGUUUGCGAUUUUUUCAAUGCAGCUCCUGCGCAUUCCACAUAUUUGGGAAAUGAAAAUGAUUCAAGUUGGUGCGGUGAUGUGAUUCUUGCAGGACCUUGCCUUUGGUACAACACUGAUAUUUUUCCAUUAAGGAUCUUGUAUGCUGACUAUGUUGUUGAGACUUUGAGAGAUUAAGCAGCAGAAGAGGAUUUUUUUUGGAGUAAAAUUGAAGAAAAGAUAAAGUAUGUUUUAGUGGGGAGUUGUUACUGGACUUGGGAAAGGAGUUACUGCUAGCAUUAUUGGAGUGCUCCUUCAUAAAAUGUUCAUAUCUGUUCAAUAGAUUUAUAAAACUAUGAACAUGUUUUUUUCUUCUAAAAUUGAUAUUUUCCAAUUUUAGCAAAACACAAUCAUGCCCAUACCCUCUUCAACUGAUAAGGGAAAGGAUUUCAUUCCCAUAGAAGACCUCCUCAUCCCUAAAGCCUUUGCUCCGUCGAAGAGGUUCUCUAGAGAUGAUUCAAAUGGGGAAUCAAGCCCUUCAAAAUUCUUGAUUCCAAAGCAAUAGGUCACAAGUGUUCAAGGCUCAAGAGUGCUAGGCGUUCCAAAGCCAAAUGAUUGCCACAUUUUCUACUAUAAUCUACUAAGUCUUCAUAUGCACCUUCAUUUUUUGACAUAUGAAUAUAUUUUGUGUAAGGAUUUAUUAUUAUGCCUUUAGGAGUCAUAUUAUGUGCAAACUUUAGCCAUCUUGAUCAAAAUGAUUAGACUUGAUUUGUAAUGAAUUUUCCAAUUCUAUGGAAAACAUGUUUUCUGCAAUGAAAAACCAACCUAUUAUAUAUAUGUUCUAGACUUGUCUCUUUUCAUUUUUCCAUUCAUAUGAUACAUUCAUGUCACAUAUAAAAUUAUUCAAAUCUCAUUGAUAUUUAGAUUGUAUCUAAGAUUUUUACGUGACGCCAUGAUGAUGAAUACCCUCAUUGAUACAAACUGUUCCUAUGAACAUCUGCUCAACACUAUUUGAACCACAUUUAGUAUUUGUUCAAGUUAACUAUAAACAUUUAGUAAUUGUUUCUAUGCAUUACUCAUACAACACAACUCAAGGUCCAAUGCUUCAUUAUGAUGACUGCUAAACCGCAUUGGUAUGGGCACCAUGUUGUACUAGGUUGGUGCAGGUACAGCUAUAGGUCCUAUACGAUUCAGACAAAGCCGCUGAUGCAGGUACAACUGCUUGUAUUUUUUUUCCUUUGUUACCAAUGCUGAAAAUAACAAAAUUCAGAAAUGCUUUACAAAAUACAACUUUUUCUUAAUUCAUGUGACAUGUCCUGUCAAUUGACAAUAUGUACUU
Molecule: long non-coding RNA, 1515 nt
Organism: Vicia villosa (hairy vetch)
Lineage: Eukaryota; Viridiplantae; Streptophyta; Magnoliopsida; Fabales; Fabaceae
Exons: 4
Source: RefSeq, a predicted model, not a curated record